GACACGUACAACACCCUCAAAUAUGCCGACCGGGCCAAGGAGAUCAGGCUCUCGUUGAAGAGCAAUGUGACCAGCCUGGACUGUCACAUCAGCCAGUAUGCUACCAUCUGCCAACAGCUCCAGGCUGAGGUAGCCGCUCUGAGGAAGAAGCUCCAAAUAUAUGAGGGGGGAGGCCAGCCCCCACCACAAGACCUCCCAGGAUCUCCCAAGUCGGGACCACCACCACAACAGUGAGUUCCACUGCCCUGCAACUCAGCCGGGAUGGGGAGCCAGGCCCUCUUCUCCAGUUUCUGGAGGACUAGGACUCCUUGCUUCUGCUCCAAUCCCUAGGGUUAAGGGUUUGCACCCAGUGCCCGUCCAGCAACUGAUUGUCACCUAGAGUGCUGUGUCCAAUGAGUAAAUAGCACCCCAGCCCGUAAGAGCAGUGCCUACUAUUCGAGAGAAGGUGAACUUAGGGGUGUGUGUCAUUGUCUCUCAAACCAGAAAAUCCCUGACUCCUCCUACCCUCAGCUACUGCCCAUUUGUCACCUAAGCGUCUGUCCCUUAUGGACUCUAUACGACCUGG
This 565-nucleotide small RNA is filed under the name Pongo abelii (Sumatran orangutan). Its description in RNAcentral is "retained intron". The record is from RNAcentral. Lineage: Eukaryota; Metazoa; Chordata; Mammalia; Primates; Hominidae.